This 57-nucleotide transfer RNA is filed under the name Baylisascaris procyonis (raccoon roundworm). RNAcentral describes it as "tRNA-Glu". The record is from RNAcentral. Lineage: Eukaryota; Metazoa; Nematoda; Chromadorea; Rhabditida; Ascarididae.
GAGAUUAUAGUAUAAUUGUUUGUAUAUUUCUCUUUCGAAGAAAAGGUUUUUGUCUUA